GUUUUUGGGAGAAAAAGGGAGAAAGUGAGAAACCAAGAGAAGAGAGAAGUCAGAAAAGAGAAGAAUCUUGUGAGAAGAGGAGCAAUCUUGUAGAGUUCGAUCGAUUAACCUAAGGUGAUCGAGUUUAAGUUGUUGUUAAAUUGCUGUCGUGAGUGGACUAUCUCUCACGUGUGUCUUAGGUGCUCUGAUACGUAACGGGAUGAGAACUUUGUUGCAUGCUUUUCUAUUCCUUACGUAAUGUUUAUGAAUUUACAUGACUAAAUUGUUAAUUUGAUUUUUAUGAGAUGUUUUGAUGAGGCCUUAGUGCCAAAGUUAUUUAAGAUGAUAAUUAGUUAA
RNAcentral lists this long non-coding RNA (336 nucleotides) under Medicago truncatula (barrel medic). RNAcentral describes it as "lncRNA gene22738". Lineage: Eukaryota; Viridiplantae; Streptophyta; Magnoliopsida; Fabales; Fabaceae. The record is from RNAcentral.